This 886-nucleotide unclassified non-coding RNA is filed under the name Hevea brasiliensis (rubber tree). Lineage: Eukaryota; Viridiplantae; Streptophyta; Magnoliopsida; Malpighiales; Euphorbiaceae. The record is from RNAcentral.
GCUUUGGCUGAAGAAGCUCAAAGAUGUAGCUUAUGAUGCUGAAGACGUGUUUGAUGAGUUAGCCUACGAGGAUCUUUGACGAAAGGUUCAGAUGCAAGAACAACUAGGGAGGGAGCUUUGAAAUCAGGACAUUUCGUUGUGGUUGCUCAUGUUUAUCUUGAUUUCUUUCUAUGAAGAUUGCUUCUUUCGGAAUCUUGGGACGAGAAAAUGUUGGUAGGCACUCCUCUACAAUAAAACAUUUUGAGAGAAUAGAAGAUAGUUUUGGAUGCACAGCCAUUAUAUCUUCUGGAAUUUUCCGCAUUCAUUAGACAUCGCUGGGAAAACCAAAAUGGGAACAGAUUGAUAAGCAGUGUUACUCUUGCUUUCAUCAACCAACAAGAACUUCAAAUCACAGCUUGGGCUCUUUGCCAUCAUGAAGUUUUGGAGAUUAUGGCCAGUAAUUAUCUCUCAGAGGGACUUUCUGGUAAAAUUUCAAGUUGAAGCAGUAAUAGAAAAAACAUUUCUGAUGAUUUGGACAGUUCAAGCUUUGAGCUGAAUACUGACGGAAGGACCAACUGAACUUUCUUUGCAAUUGGAACCGUUAGAAGAUGGAACAUGACUUAUUGAUAGUGCACAACUGGCUUUUUCUGUUGCAGUUCUUUACGGGCCUUGAAGGGAAUUUUCAUUAUCAAUUUCUUUCUUCACUUGUACUGGCCUAUGCUUUGAACCUAGUUUUUGCACCUUUUCAGGAUAAUCUUGAUCCUCAAUUACUUAUCUAUAUGUUUAUAAAUUCCUACUUCUUACAUUUGAAUCUUGAAAUACAUACAUUUAAAACUUCACCUCUAGAAAAAGUUAGCAUAUAUUAUACUGAGCAGAUUGAAAUGAAUUAUCUCAUCUCCUCUGUUUG